CUACUGCCGCCGCCGCCACUGCCAGGACUACAGCCUAACCAUCCGUCUGCGCUCCCUAGAGCGCUCGCCCAGACUGAGAACCCUCUCUGUUCGCAGACACACAACUUCUGUCUGCUCACCUACCACCGGCACCAUGUGACUAGAACCCACGCCAUUGGCUGUCAAUUAUGGCUGUGGAAGACCCAGCCUAGGGGGAUGGCUUGUCAUAUGGAUCAUGUGAAGGGGAAAUGAAGAAGGACAGAUCAGCUUCUGCUUCCUUGGAGGAGCUCCAAUCUUUGUCUUCACCAUAGACAUCAUCCCCUGGCUUCCAGUGCAGACCCUUCAGCUUCCAGCACAGUCUUCAGCCUUCUGGUGUCGACUCUUUAGCCUUCCAUGGCAGACCCAUCGGCCUGCCUGGCGUGGACACUGCAGUGAGCUCCAUAUCUUGGACAAAAUCACUCAGUCUCCAGCAUACAGACACCCUCUACGCGCUUCCUCAUCCAACACUGUGGGUGGCCACUGUAAGCCAAUCUUGUAAAUCCUUAUAUGUUUGUAUAUCUUGUGUCUUAUCUAUUUCUCUAGUAAACAUUGACUGAUGCAGCCAGA
Molecule: long non-coding RNA, 585 nt
Organism: Cavia porcellus (domestic guinea pig)
Lineage: Eukaryota; Metazoa; Chordata; Mammalia; Rodentia; Caviidae
Exons: 2
Source: RefSeq, a predicted model, not a curated record